GCCCCGGUGACGAAAUCGGUAGACGUAGCGGAUUCAAAAUCCGCCGCCGCAAGGCGUGCCAGUUCGAGUCUGGCCCGGGGCACCA
This 85-nucleotide transfer RNA is filed under the name Burkholderiales bacterium. Its description in RNAcentral is "tRNA-Leu". It matches the Rfam family "tRNA". From Rfam's summary of the family: Transfer RNA (tRNA) molecules are approximately 80 nucleotides in length. Lineage: Bacteria; Pseudomonadati; Pseudomonadota; Betaproteobacteria; Burkholderiales. The record is from RNAcentral.